AGUGAACGCUGGCGGUAGGCCUAACACAUGCAAGUCGAACGGCAGCACAGGAGAGCUUGCUCUCUGGGUGGCGAGUGGCGGACGAGUGAGGAAUACAUCGGAAUCUACUUUUUCGUGGGGGAUAACGUAGGGAAACUUACGCUAAUACCGCAUACGACCUACGGGUGAAAGCAGGGGACCUUCGGGCCUUGCGCGAUUGAAUGAGCCGAUGUCGGAUUGGCUAGUUGGCGGGGUAAAGGCCCACCAAGGCGACGAUCCGUAGCUGGUCUGAGAGGAUGAUCAGCCACACUGGAACUGAGACACGGUCCAGACUCCUACGGGAGGCAGCAGUGGGGAAUAUUGGACAAUGGGCGCAAGCCUGAUCCAGCCAUACCGCGUGGGUGAAGAAGGCCUUCGGGUUGUAAAGCCCUUUUGUUGGGAAAGAAAUCCAUCUGGUUAAUACCCGGGUGGGAUGACGGUACCCAAAGAAUAAGCACCGGCUAACUUCGUGCCAGCCGCCGCCGUAA
RNAcentral lists this ribosomal RNA (506 nucleotides) under uncultured bacterium. Its description in RNAcentral is "partial 16S ribosomal RNA". It matches the Rfam family "Bacterial small subunit ribosomal RNA", at positions 29 to 523 of the family's 1533-position model. The record is from RNAcentral.